This 396-nucleotide ribosomal RNA is filed under the name Triticum aestivum (bread wheat). RNAcentral describes it as "partial small subunit ribosomal RNA". The record is from RNAcentral. Lineage: Eukaryota; Viridiplantae; Streptophyta; Magnoliopsida; Poales; Poaceae.
AUGGCGCAACCGAAAUGCUUUCAAAGACAUUCUGAUGCGAUCAUCCUAGGUAAUAUUUCUGUUCCACCAUUAGUGCCAAGUAAGAUACCUUCCAAACGAGACCUUGAUUGUGAGAAAAAUAUGCCAAAAUAUAUGGUGCCUGCUUUACGUCAAAGGAAGAUGUUGCACUCAACAAAUCAAAGAGGUAUAUUAGGCUCCAUGCCUUGCUCACGUACUAACCAGGGAAGUCAAAAAUCAGAUAUUUUAUUCAAGACUCCAAGGAUCACCACGGUUAUGAUUGGUGACAUGCCUAUUAAGCUAAUUUCUUUGGAUGAAGCGGAGCCUUGCUUUAGAAUGCCAUGCAGUACGAGACUCGUGCCGUCUAGAGUAGCACCAAAUUAUUUUGGUAGAGCUUAA